RNAcentral lists this transfer RNA (75 nucleotides) under Planctomycetales bacterium 12-60-4. RNAcentral's name for it is "tRNA-Phe". It matches the Rfam family "tRNA". Rfam says of the family: Transfer RNA (tRNA) molecules are approximately 80 nucleotides in length. Their secondary structure includes four short double-helical elements and three loops (D, anti-codon, and T loops). The record is from RNAcentral. Lineage: Bacteria; Pseudomonadati; Planctomycetota; Planctomycetia; Planctomycetales.
GGGCUGGUAGCUGAGAUGGUGUAGCGCCUGGCUGAAGACCAGGAGAGAAGGAUUCGAGCGCCUUCCAGCCCGCCU